CACAAGUCUGAGAUGAAAGAGCCUCUGGGAUCCAAUGGUGAUAACAGGGACUGAUUCUCUUCCGCGCGGUCCUAAUUGCUGACACGACCUUGGCCUUCCAAAAUGUUGCUUCCAGAAUACCAACCUGUCAGGACCCUGGAGAGAAACCGCCACAAACGGGCAUGUGGGAGCUUAGUUCCCCAACCGGGGAUCGAACCUGCACCCCCUACAUUGGCAGCAUGGAGUCUUUCGUCUCAAUGAUUCCAGCCACAUUUGAGGUCCCAGUCUGACUUGGAGCCCUACAAGCUGAGGUUUCUCAGCCACCCACAGAUUUGCCCAGCCCAGGACUACAGGAAGCGGACGCAGUUCUUCCCCAGCCCGGGCGUUGACAAGCUCAGCUAGACGGGAGCAUCGUUCGGUUUCCUCCCCUGCCAUCGUGGAUUUGUGACCGCUAUUGCUCCACUGUGGUCACCUGACGUCAAGGGGUCCCCCGGAAGCCUAUGUCUAAUGCUAAUUGAAGACAGGAAGCCUAUUCCAUGUAACUUCCUUCGUCUCAGCACAGAACUCCUUAUGCCCUGACUCCUUAAAACGCACACCCAACCCUCAGGUAAGGGUGCAGGUUCACCAGGUUGUCCAAUAAAUCACAAAGCUUAAGGAAGCCAGGGCUGAAAUUUUUUGAGUCUGUAAUGAAGUAUGGUGAGAAUAUAGGUCUCAUUGGUUACCUACUCAUCUAAUCAUCUGUGUAUUUUUAUAAACAAAACUUCGGUGUUCCUUUAAAGUCGUGUGGCUGUCAGGAAGGAAGCAGCUGAUGUCAUUUGUUUUUCUAAAAGGCAUCAAGAGUGUUGACGAGGUCUUAAGCUGUAGGAAAACACUGGUAUACAUGCCAUUUGCCAUCCUCUAGUGUGAGCUGUGCUGGUAGGAAGGAGGAAUUGGUUA
Molecule: long non-coding RNA, 915 nt
Filed under: Cervus hanglu yarkandensis (Yarkand deer)
Lineage: Eukaryota; Metazoa; Chordata; Mammalia; Artiodactyla; Cervidae
Description: lncRNA (ENSCHYG00000024226.1)
Source: RNAcentral